AUACGUAGGGUGCUAGCGUUAUCCGGAUUUACUGGGCGUAAAGGGUGCGUAGGUGGUCUUUCAAGUCGGUGGUUAAAGGCUACGGCUCAACCGUAUUAAGCCGCCGAAACUGGAAGACUUGAGUGCAGGAGAGGAAAGUGGAAUUCUCAGUGUAGCGGUGAAAUGCGUAGAUAUUGAGAAGAACACCAGUAGCGAAGGCGGCUUUCUGGACUGUAACUGACACUGAGGCACGAAAGCGUGGGUAGCAAACAGGAUUAGAUACCCUAGUAGUCCACGCUGUAAACGAUGACAACUAAAUAUUGCCGCGAGGCAGUGUUGAAGCUAACGCAUUAAGUUGUCCGCCUGGGGAGUACGGUCGCAAGGUUGAAACUCAAAUGAAUUGACGGGG
Molecule: ribosomal RNA, 388 nt
Filed under: uncultured bacterium
Lineage: Bacteria
Description: partial 16S ribosomal RNA
Rfam family: Bacterial small subunit ribosomal RNA
Source: RNAcentral